GCACGAACUUUGCGAAAGAGACUGAGUACCAAAAGCCGAAGAACACUGAUCUGUAUCCUAAAACCUAAAACCUAAAACUGGAGCGAGAAACGAGGAAAAUGUUAUCACCGAAGCCGAAAGACAGAGGUUUCGUCCAGUUUUAUUUGCCGAAAGAUUAAAGAGUACCACUGCCGUACGCAAGUUCGUUCAUUUCAAUUUCACACAAGUUUUAGUACCAUUCAUUUAAUUAUACAAUGUAUUUGCGUUCUAACAAGUAAAAUAUCGUGAUAUAGAAUAUUUCAAAUCAGCAAAUUUACAACUAACGAACAUUGGGCCAUUCCAUUUAAUAUCUACACCCCCUGUCGACGACGUCUUCCAAUUUCACACCCCUAAGAAGCAUGUUUUUAUAAGUCCCCCUCGGAAAUUCGUCAGAAUUUUGAAAGCCCUUCAGAAAUUUGAUGUUUUCUUCUAUAUUCUUAAGGAAACUAAGUG
Paramuricea clavata is the source of this 471-nucleotide non-coding RNA. Lineage: Eukaryota; Metazoa; Cnidaria; Anthozoa; Malacalcyonacea; Plexauridae. The record is from the annotation of a GenBank genome assembly.